Molecule: long non-coding RNA, 1446 nt
Organism: Hippocampus comes (tiger tail seahorse)
Lineage: Eukaryota; Metazoa; Chordata; Actinopteri; Syngnathiformes; Syngnathidae
Exons: 4
Source: RefSeq, a predicted model, not a curated record
CUGAUAACAAUCAGUAGGAUACUCAAGUACUGUAGUGUAUUGUUGCAGGUGGCCAGGUCAACUUGAUUGCACUUAUUUUGUCGCUGUUCGUUUAAUUCUGUGUGCAAAUAUUAAUUCGCCGUUGGCGAAUCUGCAGUUGCAUGCUGUAAGAAACUCAUCCGCUGUAUGUGAAAUGUCACAUGACCUCACCCAGAAAACUGGGUACUGGACUUCCUUCAAAUGGUGUUAGAUGUUGGCCAUGCCAUAGAAGCCCCCCCGAGGACCAGGCAAUUCCCAUCUUCUUUGGUGAGAUUGUCACAAGCUGAUGUGAAAAUCUGCCUGCUCCUUUGUGCUGCUGACUUAUAGCCACCGCAGGAGGCUGAUUCAUCUUUUAUGUCCCCUAGGACACCAUCCGCGCUUUAAAACUUCAACUGGAUAUGCUUGAUUUAUGGCAAGAAGUUAUUUGACGCUGUAAGAGAGAAGUGGACUUUAGUUUCACAGUAACAUUGGUUCACAUGAAUUCACUUGUCUAUUUUUGACUGCCGGGCGCAACGCCGUUGAUAGGGAGCCUUUUAGUUGGUCAAACAGGAAGCGGAGAAAUUAGAUUCAACGUGUCGGGCUCCGUUUUCAAACCAAGGAAGUGUUCAAAGUAAGCAAAAGCGUCUGCUGAAAUGCUUGAUUUUAGCACCGAUUUACAACCCUAACGUUGCUAACGAUGUCUUUUAAUGAGCAGCUCAAGUUUCCAUUUGUUUAUGGAGCAUGCUGACUGACAGGUCCACCGAUGGAGAAAUAAAGCAUGUGAAUGAGCAGUUGGAUCUUUGCCUUCUUUGCCAUAUCAGUACAAGCCUAAUGUAUCGACUAAACUUUGAAGUGUCCUAAUGGUCCGCACGGUCCUUUAACCGUGCAGGCCUCUAUUAAGGAUGUCAGUGGAGCCUAGCUGGGGCAGUGUGACCCAUUAGCUUUAAUGAGAGCCGUCCAGGGCACAGCGGGCCGCUCUUCUUGCCCUCUACGACUGUUUAUUUAUGUCACCUACCCGCAUUUUGGUGUACUCAGGCUUUUAAGUUGCGUGCGUAUUACUCUAGGGUUUGGGAUUUUAUUACCUCUGAUCACGGCGAACUCAAUCUUGCUAAAUUUCUGUUUGAAUUAGGGUCAUGGUGAUGCACAAAAAAAAAAAAAAAUCCUGAUUUGAAAAGGAUGAAUAGAUGUGCCAAUAAUCUGGACAAACAAAAAAAACUAAGAACAGAAAAAGCUUUGCACAUCUCGGUAUUUUCUCAAUCAACUUGAUGAUGUGGUUGAUGCUUUAUGGAAUGACUUUCAUUUCGUAGCUGCACAUUAUCAAGAGUUCAAAGGUCAUUUUUCUUGACCUCUUCGAGUGUUUGAGAGCAGUUGAAUUUGAAGAUUUUUUUCCACAAACUUUUGACUGCAACUGUAUAUCAUGACUAUAUGUUGAUGUCACUCAAAAAUAAA